This 240-nucleotide ribosomal RNA is filed under the name uncultured Lactobacillus sp. RNAcentral's name for it is "partial 16S ribosomal RNA". It matches the Rfam family "Bacterial small subunit ribosomal RNA", at positions 122 to 356 of the family's 1533-position model. The record is from RNAcentral. Lineage: Bacteria; Bacillati; Bacillota; Bacilli; Lactobacillales; Lactobacillaceae.
UAACCUGCCCAAGAGAUCGGGAUAACACCUGGAAACAGAUGCUAAUACCGGAUAAUAACAGAUGAUGCCUAUCAACUGGUUAAAAGAUGGUUCUGCUAUCACUCUUGGAUGGACCUGCGGUGCAUUAGCUAGUUGGUAGGGUAACGGCCUACCAAGGCGAUGAUGCAUAGCCGAGUUGAGAGACUGAUCGGCCACAUUGGGACUGAGACACGGCCCAAACUCCUACGGGAGGCAGCAGUG